Molecule: ribosomal RNA, 442 nt
Filed under: uncultured bacterium
Lineage: Bacteria
Description: partial 16S ribosomal RNA
Rfam family: Bacterial small subunit ribosomal RNA
Source: RNAcentral
CCUACGGGCGGCAGCAGUGGGGAAUAUUGGGCAAUGGGCGAAAGCCUGACCCAGCAACGCCGCGUGAAGGAAGAAGGCUUUCGGGUUGUAAACUUCUUUUGACAGGGACGAGCAGAAUAAGGUACCUGGCGAAUAAACCCCGGCUAACUACGUGCCAGGCGCCGCGGUAAUACGUAGGUGGCAAGCGUUUUCCGGGUUUACUGGGGGGAAAGGGCGUGUAGGCGGGCCGACAAGUCAGAUGUGAAAUCCCAGGGCUCAACCCGCGAACUGCAUUUGAAACUGUUGUUCUUGAGUACCGGAGAGGCAGACGGAAUUCCUAGUGUAGCGGUGAAAUGCGUAGAUAUUAGGAGGAACACCAGUGGCGAAGGCGGUCUGCUGGACGACAACUGACGGUGAGGCGCGAAAGCGUGGGGAGCAAACAGGAUUAGAUACCCGGGUAGUC